Peromyscus eremicus (cactus mouse) is the source of this 518-nucleotide long non-coding RNA. RefSeq lists it as uncharacterized. NCBI's taxonomy places the organism in Eukaryota, Metazoa, Chordata, Mammalia, Rodentia, Cricetidae. The record is from RefSeq and is a predicted model, not a curated record. The transcript has 5 exons.
UAACUGUCACACCUACAAGGCGGGGCAGAGAGAGGACCCUGAAGACCCAAGAUCUGAAUGCGCAGGCUCUCUUGGUUCCUGGACCCUGGACGCUGGAGGUAGACCAAGCAGAGUUCUCCAGAGAACACCGCAGGACUGUGCUACACCUUUCCCAGACCCUGUAGCCUAUCCCUUCACUUACCCUGCACUUAUGCCAAGACAUUGGUGGCUCUGUGGGGAUAUAUUGGUGAGCUUAUUCCUGCCAGGAAGAAGAGAGUGACAUUGUUCACUUCGGGAAGGUUCUUGUUAUUGAAGAGCUGUCACAGGAAAAAAUAAUGGGAGGUUCUGUGGACCUUCCAGAAGUGGAGCCUCUCCUGCAGUUUCUGUAGCCUGCCUGGUGAUGCGAGUAGCAGUCCAGUCAUCCUUGUUCCACAUCUAGUAUCCUGUUAUGAGCCUGUUCUUGGUGUUCAGGCAAUCACUUCGACUCACAGGACAUCUCCCUAGCUUGAAACUCCCAGUACUACUGCCCCCAGGCAGGA